CCUANGGGGGGCUGCAGUCGAGAAUAUUCGACAAUGGGCGAAAGCCUGAUCGAGCGACGCCGCGUGCAGGAUGAAGUGCUUCGGUAUGUAAACUGCUUUUGUGAACUAGAAAGUUUAUUGAUCAGUUCAAGAAUAAGAGGUUGCUAAACUCGUGCCAGCAGCAGCGGUAAUACGAGUGCCUCGAGCGUUAUCCGGAAUCAUUGGGCGUAAAGGGUGUGCAGGCGGUCUGAUUAGUCUUCUGUUAAAUUCUUCGGCUUAACCGGGGACCUGCAGGGGAAACGGUCAGACUAGAGGAUGCGAGAGGUUUACGGAACUCAUAGUGUAGCAGUGAAAUGCGUUGAUAUUAUGGGGAACACCAAAUGCGAAGGCAGUAAACUGGAGCACUCCUGACGCUGAAACACGAAAGCGUGGGUAGCGAAUGGGAUUAGAUACCCUGNUANUC
Molecule: ribosomal RNA, 442 nt
Filed under: uncultured bacterium
Lineage: Bacteria
Description: bacterial SSU rRNA
Rfam family: Bacterial small subunit ribosomal RNA
Source: RNAcentral